CCUACGGGAGGCAGCAGUCGAGAAUCAUUCACAAUGGGGGAAACCCUGAUGGUGCGACGCCGCGUGGGGGAAUGAAGGUCUUCGGAUUGUAAACCCCUGUCAUGUGGGAGCAAAUUAAAAAGAUAGUACCACAAGAGGAAGAGACGGCUAACUCUGUGCCAGCAGCCGCGGUAAUACAGAGGUCUCAAGAGUUGUUCGGAAUCACUGGGCGUAAAGGGUGCGGAGGCGGUUUCGUAAGUCGUGUGUGAAAGGCGCGGGCUCAACCCGCAGACGGCACAUGAUACUGCGAGACUAGAGUAAUGGAGGGGGAACCGGAAUGCUCGGUGUAGCAGUGAAAUGCGUAGAUAUCGAGAGGAACACUCGUGGCGAAGGCGGGUUCCUGGACAUUAACUGACGCUGAGGCACGAAGGCCAGGGGAGCGAAAGGGAUUAGAUACCCUUGUAGUC
This 446-nucleotide ribosomal RNA is filed under the name uncultured bacterium. Its description in RNAcentral is "partial 16S ribosomal RNA". It matches the Rfam family "Bacterial small subunit ribosomal RNA", at positions 338 to 795 of the family's 1533-position model. The record is from RNAcentral.